Molecule: ribosomal RNA, 437 nt
Filed under: Porphyromonas endodontalis
Lineage: Bacteria; Pseudomonadati; Bacteroidota; Bacteroidia; Bacteroidales; Porphyromonadaceae
Description: bacterial SSU rRNA
Rfam family: Bacterial small subunit ribosomal RNA
Source: RNAcentral
GAUGAACGCUAGCGAUAGGCUUAACACAUGCAAGUCGAGGGGCAGCAUUAUUUUAGCUUGCUAAGAUAGAUGGCGACCGGCGCACGGGUGCGUAACGCGUAUGCAACCUGCCUGUAAUUAGGGAAUAACCCGGUGAAAGUCGGACUAAUACCCUAUAUUCUUCUUUCUCCGCAUGGGGAAGGACGGAAAGAUUUAUUGAUUACAGAUGGGCAUGCGUCCCAUUAGCUUGUUGGUAAGGUAACGGCUUACCAAGGCAACGAUGGGUAGGGGGACUGAGAGGUUGACCCCCCACACUGGUACUGAGACACGGACCAGACUCCUACGGGAGGCAGCAGUGAGGAAUAUUGGUCAAUGGGCGAGAGCCUGAACCAGCCAAGUCGCGUGAAGGACGACGGUUCUAUGGAUUGUAAACUUCUUUUGUAGAGGAAUAAUGGCAG